UACAGGGGGUGCAAGCGUUGCUCGGAAUCACUGGGCGUAAAGCGUACGCAGGCGGACCGUUUAGUCGGGUGUGAAAGCCCGGGGCUCAACCCCGGAAAUGCAUUCGAUACUGCGGUGCUUGAGGACUGGAGAGGAGACUGGAAUUCAUGGUGUAGCAGUGAAAUGCGUAGAGAUCAUGAGGAAGACCAGUGGCGAAGGCGGGUCUCUGGACAGUUCCUGACACUGAGGCACGAAGGCCAGGGGAGCAAACGGG
RNAcentral lists this ribosomal RNA (253 nucleotides) under uncultured bacterium. Its description in RNAcentral is "partial 16S ribosomal RNA". It matches the Rfam family "Bacterial small subunit ribosomal RNA", at positions 524 to 776 of the family's 1533-position model. The record is from RNAcentral.